ACUCCUACGGGAGGCAGCAGUGGGGAAUAUUGCACAAUGGGCGCAAGCCUGAUGCAGCCAUGCCGCGUGUGUGAAGAAGGCCUUCGGGUUGUAAAGCACUUUCAGUCGUGAGGAAGGUAGUGUAGUUAAUAGCUGCAUUAUUUGUACGUUAGCGACAGAAGAAGCACCGGCUAACUCCGUGCCAGCAGCCGCGGUAAUACGGAGGGUGCGAGCGUUAAUCGGAAUUACUGGGCGUAAAGCGCAUGCAGGUGGUUUGUUAAGUCAGAUGUGAAAGCCCGGGGCUCAACCUCGGAAUAGCAUUUGAAACUGGCAGACUAGAGUACUGUAGAGGGGGUAGAAUUUCAGGUGUAGCGGUGAAAUGCGUAGAGAUCUGAAGGAAUACCGGUGGCGAAGGCGGCCCCCUGGACAGAUACUGACACUCAGAUGCGAAAGCGUGGGGAGCAAACAGGAUUAGAUACCCUGGUAGGACAGUG
This 473-nucleotide ribosomal RNA is filed under the name uncultured bacterium. RNAcentral's name for it is "bacterial SSU rRNA". It matches the Rfam family "Bacterial small subunit ribosomal RNA", at positions 335 to 799 of the family's 1533-position model. The record is from RNAcentral.